GACGAACGCUGGCGGCGUGCUUAACACAUGCAAGUCGAGCGGAAAGGCCCUUCGGGGUACUCGAGCGGCGAACGGGUGAGUAACUCGUGAGUAACCUGCCCCAGACUUUGGGAUAACCCUCGGAAACGGGGGCUAAUACCGGAUACGACACAGCUUCGCAUGGGGUCUGUGUGGAAAGUUUUUCGGUUUGGGAUGGGCUCGCGGCCUAUCAGCUUGUUGGUGGGGUGAUGGCCUACCAAGGCGACGACGGGUAGCCGGCCUGAGAGGGCGACCGGCCACACUGGGACUGAGACACGGCCCAGACUCCUACGGGAGGCAGCAGUGGGGAAUAUUGCACAAUGGGCGGAAGCCUGAUGCAGCGACGCCGCGUGAGGGAUGACGGCCUUCGGGUUGUAAACCUCUUUCAGCAGGGACGAAGCGUAAGUGACGGUACCUGCAGAAGAAGCGCCGGCCAACUACGUG
RNAcentral lists this ribosomal RNA (462 nucleotides) under uncultured bacterium. RNAcentral describes it as "partial 16S ribosomal RNA". It matches the Rfam family "Bacterial small subunit ribosomal RNA", at positions 28 to 507 of the family's 1533-position model. The record is from RNAcentral.